UUAAGUUCAGCGGGUAUUCCUACCUGAUCCGAGGUCAACAUUUCAGAAAGUUGGGUGUUUAACGGCUGUGGACGCGCCGCGCUCCCGGUGCGAGUGUGCAAGCUACUGCGCAGGGGAGGCUGCGGCGAGACCGCCACUGUAUUUCGGGGACGGCCGCCCGCUGAGGGACGGCCGAUCCCCAACGCCGACCCCCCGGAGGG
This 200-nucleotide unclassified non-coding RNA is filed under the name fungal sp. RNAcentral's name for it is "partial internal transcribed spacer 2". Lineage: Eukaryota; Fungi. The record is from RNAcentral.